CGAUGAACCUCCUUCGGGAGGGGAUUAGUGGCGAACGGGUGAGUAACACGUGGGCAAUCUGCCCUGCACUCCGGGACAAGCCCUGGAAACGGGGUCUAAUACCGGAUACGACUCUCGCGGGCAUCCGCGAGGGUGGAAAGCUCCGGCGGUGCAGGAUGAGCCCGCGGCCUAUCAGCUGGUUGGUGGGGUAACGGCCCACCAAGGCGACGACGGGUAGCCGGCCUGAGAGGGCGACCGGCCACACUGGGACUGAGACACGGCCCAGACUCCUACGGGAGGCAGCAGUGGGGAAUAUUGCACAAUGGGCGCAAGCCUGAUGCAGCGACGCCGCGUGAGGGAUGACGGCCUUCGGGUUGUAAACCUCUUUCAGCAGGGAAGAAGCGCAAGUGACGGUACCUGCAGAAGAAGCGCCGGCUAACUACGUGCCAGCAGCCGCGGUAAUACGUAGGGCGCGAGCGUUGUCCGGAAUUAUUGGGCGUAAAGAGCUCGUAGGCGGCCUGUCACGUCGGGUGUGAAAGCCCGGGGCUUAACCCCGGGUCUGCAUUCGAUACGGGCAGGCUGGAGUUCGGCAGGGGAGAUCGGAAUUCCUGGUGUAGCGGUGAAAUGCGCAGAUAUCAGGAGGAACACCGGUGGCGAAGGCGGAUCUCUGGGCCGAUACUGACGCUGAGGAGCGAAAGCGUGGGGAGCGAACAGGAUUAGAUACCCUGGUAGUCCACGCCGUAAACGUUGGGCACUAGGUGUGGGAUCCAUUCCACGGGUUCCGUGCCGCAGCUAACGCAUUAAGUGCCCCGCCUGGGGAGUAC
This 803-nucleotide ribosomal RNA is filed under the name Streptomyces sp. RNAcentral describes it as "bacterial SSU rRNA". It matches the Rfam family "Bacterial small subunit ribosomal RNA", at positions 67 to 883 of the family's 1533-position model. Lineage: Bacteria; Bacillati; Actinomycetota; Actinomycetes; Kitasatosporales; Streptomycetaceae. The record is from RNAcentral.